AUGUCUUUCUCUAAGAUCUUUCAAAUUCUUUUCAUUGUUGAUUCAACCUUUAUAUUCUUCAUUAUUCCAGAGUGUCUCAACAAUUCAUGGUGGUGUUUCUCGUCGUCAUUCUUAGAUUUUGAAGACCAAAGAAGAGUUCCUCUUAAAUUCUUACCCGUUCUUCCAAAGAUGCCUAGCUCUAGCUUUAUACAAUCCUCUCAUAAUUGUUUUCGAUUGUGGGAAUUCUUUUCACCCAUCCGGAGCAAUUCAGGAGUAUUUUUCAGUUUGAUUCUUCGGAGCCCAUCAUCUCAAAAUUACUCAUUCCAUCAAAUACGUCUCCAACGUAUCUAUAAUUUUUGA
This 339-nucleotide ribosomal RNA is filed under the name Triticum aestivum (bread wheat). RNAcentral's name for it is "partial small subunit ribosomal RNA". Lineage: Eukaryota; Viridiplantae; Streptophyta; Magnoliopsida; Poales; Poaceae. The record is from RNAcentral.